This is a long non-coding RNA of Suricata suricatta (meerkat), 1068 nucleotides long. RefSeq lists it as uncharacterized. Lineage: Eukaryota; Metazoa; Chordata; Mammalia; Carnivora; Herpestidae. The record is from RefSeq and is a predicted model, not a curated record. The transcript is spliced from 2 exons.
CUCCCUCCCUCCCAGGGUACAACUAAAACUAAAGUAAAAUCAAGAAACUAGGAAAAGGACAUCGGAUCCAAAAGAGCUCAUUGACCUUAACGUUCCAAAGAAGCAACGCCCUCGGCCCGAAACAAUUACAGAUGUGACCUUCGUGGGACCAGGAACCCUCCUAGUCUUUCCCUCUCUCCCCAGGACACAACUUCGUUUCCCAAGAAGGCUCCGAGGAGAAGGCUUCGGGCGCAUCGACGCCGCAGGGCCGGCAGGGCCUCCCCAACGGGCGGCGAGGUUGUGGUGAGUCACAGGACAGGUGCCACCUGCGGAGGCUCUGGCCGAGCCAUUCGCGACCUCAGCCUGUGUGUCAGCUGCGGGGCUGGCCAAGGGCGCCGGUGUGGAGGCAGAUGCUCUUCUCUCUGUGAGAUGGUCCUUCUCUGAGCCCAGAAGGUGGCUUUGUGGUCGUGACCAUGAAUUACAGCAGCCGUGGGGGGAGGGGCGAGUUAUAGACGGUGCUCCUGAAAAGUGCAGCCAUCACUCAAACCGGCUCUGACACAGCCUUCCAAUCAAGAUUCCACUUCCGGGCCCUGGUGGAUUACGUUAAAAAAGAAAAAAAAAAAAAAAGAGUGCUGAGGUUCCAUUGAGGACCCUGUCACAUCCUCAUAAAUAAGCCUGGGCAUUGAAGGUGCCUGAAGAUCUACGCUCCUCACACGGAAGGCUUGUAAAUCAAGGCGCCAAUUAACAUCGAGAGGGUUGGUGUGUUUGCAACCUGGGCUCUUGCCUUCAUGGAGCCGAUGAGGAAUGAACACUACUUCAUAAUUCAGGGCAGAGGAAGAAAAGAGGUUUGUACAUCUUUGCUCUCUCUCUCUGCUUGGAUAUGUUUCUACCUCCACCGCCACAUGCAUCAAGAAAGGUGUGAGGAGAAAGGAUAUUGUUUCUACCAGAUACUUCAGAGCAAGCGGGCGAAGCUGAAAAUAGCAUCUGGAAAAAAACUGUGACAGAUUUGCCUUAAUGAAAGAUAUUUAAAGAUAAAAUGUCCUCAUCAGAUUUUUAUUCUACACCUAUUAAUUAAAGCAGAAGAACUUU